RNA transcript from Oncorhynchus keta (chum salmon), 3480 nucleotides. It is a transcript of the gene named all-trans retinoic acid-induced differentiation factor-like, with no coding region annotated. Lineage: Eukaryota; Metazoa; Chordata; Actinopteri; Salmoniformes; Salmonidae. The transcript has 8 exons. The record is from RefSeq and is a predicted model, not a curated record.
GCCGGGAUUCACUCGCUUACAGUCACAUGCCUAUACGUUCCGGUCAUGUGACUUGCGCCGUCGAAAAUGACCGCUGGACACAGCCAGCAGAAUGCAGCAGUGGUCUUGUUGUUCAUUCAUUUAUGUUUCUCUGGUGGUUAUCAACUGACUGAGUUACAGGUGGGCCUGUGCCAUCUCUGCAACGGGACGGUCCAGAACGGCACUGCCGUGAGCCAGUUCUGUUCCGCGUCUGCGGGUUUGAUUGAUGGCCGCUGCUGCCUGCUGAGAAAAGAGGACAUCAGGGAUGCGGACUACGUCAUCGGGUUGGACCUAUCAAACUGUUCCCUGAGCCGUGUGGAAGACCUUCAAGAUGCAUUCAGCGCUACAACAAUAGAUCUCUCACUGAAUCCCAUUUUAAAUCUGGACGAUUCGCUGUUUGAAGGCUUUAUCCAGUUGGCUACCCUGAUUCUGCCUGCCAACCUGGUCUGUCCAGGAGGCAAUGCAUCAUGGGAUAAGGUGAAGGUCAAAGGGGAAACUCAUGUUUGUGAAGGACAGAAAGACAUCUGUAACCAGACUGGUUAUUUGUCGUUGAACUGCCCCGAGAACUCCCUCUGUGUACCAUACGGUCCGGGCUUCUUUCAAUGUAGCUGCUCGGAUGCCUUCCGUGGAUACAAGUGUCUUCGAGAGGGAGAGUUUCCUAUAAUCCAGGUGUUCGGGCCUCUAGCGGGCUCCACAGUCCUGGUCUCCAUCCUGCUAUGGGUCACCCAAAGACGCAAGGCCAUAUCAGUCUGAGGUUGUACCCGAGCACCUGGUCUGAGGCCUAGUCCUAGGACAUUUUCAAGUGGUACUGACCUGAAAUAGCAGGGGAAAUGCUCAGGGGUUAAUGUCAUAGUGCUGACAGUGGACUGUUGAUUGAGGAGAUGGUCUCAGGGGUUAAUGUCAUAGUGCUGACAGUGGACUGUUGAUUGAAAUGGUCUCAGGGGUUAAUGUCAUAGUGCUGACAGUGGACUGUUGAUUGAAAUGAUGGUCUCAGGGGUUAAUGUCAUAGUGCUGACAGUGGACUGUUGAUUGAGGAGAUGGUCUCAGGGGUUAAUGUCAUAGUGCUGACAGUGGACUGUUGAUUGAAAUGGUCUCAGGGGUUAAUGUCAUAGUGCUGACAGUGGACUGUUGAUUGAAAUGGUCUCAGGGGUUAAUGUUAUAGUGCUGACAGUGGACUGUUGAUUGAGGAGAUGGUCUCAGGGGUUAAUGUCAUAGUGCUGACAGUGGACUGUUGAUUGAGGAGAUGGUCUCAGGGGUUAAUGUCAUAGUGCUGACAGUGGACUGUUGAUUGAGGAGAUGGUCUCAGGGGUUAAUGUCAUAGUGCUGACAGUGGACUGUUGAUUGAAAUGGUCUCAGGGGUUAAUGUCAUAGUGCUGACAGUGGACUGUUGAUUGAAAUGGUCUCAGGGGUUAAUGUCAUAGUGCUGACAGUGGACUGUUGAUUGAGGAGAUGGUCUCAGGGGUUAAUGUCAUAGUGCUGACAGUGGACUGUUGAUUGAGGAGAUGGUCUCAGGGGUUAAUGUCAUAGUGCUGACAGUGGACUGUUGAUUGAGGAGAUGGUCUCAGGGGUUAAUGUCAUAGUGCUGACAGUGGACUGUUGAUUGAGGAGAUGGUCUCAGGGGUUAAUGUCAUAGUGCUGACAGUGGACUGUUGAUUGAGGAGAUGGUCUCAGGGGUUAAUGUCAUAGUGCUGACAGUGGACUGUUGAUUGAGGAGAUGGUCUCAGGGGUUAAUGUCAUAGUGCUGACAGUGGACUGUUGAUUGAGGAGAUGGUCUCAGGGGUUAAUGUCAUAGUGCUGACAGUGGACUGUUGAUUGAGGAGAUGGUCUCAGGGGUUAAUGUCAUAGUGCUGACAGUGGACUGUUGAUUGAGGAGAUGGUCUCAGGGGUUAAUGUCAUAGUGCUGACAGUGGACUGUUGAUUGAGGAGAUGGUCUCAGGGGUUAAUGUCAUAGUGCUGACAGUGGACUGUUGAUUGAGGAGAUGGUCUCAGGGGUUAAUGUCAUAGUGCUGACAGUGGACUGUUGAUUGAGGAGAUGGUCUCAGGGGUUAAUGUCAUAGUGCUGACAGUGGACUGUUGAUUGAGGAGAUGGUCUCAGGGGUUAAUGUCAUAGUGCUGACAGUGGACUGUUGAUUGAGGAGAUGGUCUCAGGGGUUAAUGUCAUAGUGCUGACAGUGGACUGUUGAUUGAGGAGAUGGUCUCAGGGGUUAAUGUCAUAGUGCUGACUGUGGACUGUUGAUUGAGGAGAUGGUCUCAGGGGUUAAUGUCAUAGUGCUGACAGUGGACUGUUGAUUGAGGAGAUGGUCUCAGGGGUUAAUGUCAUAGUGCUGACAGUGGACUGUUGAUUGAGGAGAUGGUCUCAGGGGUUAAUGUCAUAGUGCUGACAGUGGACUGUUGAUUGAGGAGAUGGUCUCAGGGGUUAAUGUCAUAGUGCUGACUGUGGACUGUUGAUUGAGGAGAUGGUCUCAGGGGUUAAUGUCAUAGUGCUGACAGUGGACUGUUGAUUGAGGAGAUGGUCUCAGGGGUUAAUGUCAUAGUGCUGACUGUGGACUGUUGAUUGAGGAGAUGGUCUCAGGGGUUAAUGUCAUAGUGCUGACAGUGGACUGUUGAUUGAGGAGAUGGUCUCAGGGGUUAAUGUCAUAGUGCUGACAGUGGACUGUUGAUUGAGGAGAUGGUCUCAGGGGUUAAUGUCAUAGUGCUGACAGUGGACUGUUGAUUGAGGAGAUGGUCUCAGGGGUUAAUGUCAUAGUGCUGACAGUGGACUGUUGAUUGAGGAGAUGGUCUCAGGGGUUAAUGUCAUAGUGCUGACAGUGGACUGUUGAUUGAGGAGAUGGUCUCAGGGGUUAAUGUCAUAGUGCUGACAGUGGACUGUUGAUUGAGGAGAUGGUCUCAGGGGUUAAUGUCAUAGUGCUGACAGUGGACUGUUGAUUGAGGAGAUGGUCUCAGGGGUUAAUGUCAUAGUGCUGACAGUGGACUGUUGAUUGAGGAGAUGGUCUCUAGGCCCAUAUGACAUGUUUUAAGACUUAUAGUUUUUGAUGCUCAGUGUGUAAUCGCCACAAAUUUUGCAAUUGUUGUACAGCGUGCAGCCAUUUAUCUCGAUCAGCAUGGUGUUAUGUUCAACAUAAGCUGUAACUUAAUGUAUAUUCCAUUCAUGGUUUAUUUACUAAGACUAACGCUCAGGUAUCCUCAUCUACUUUGCAUGUGAAUAAGUCAAUUCUCAUAGGAGCUAUAAUGUGCAAUAUAAAUUGCAAUAGCAACAAAAUAUAUUAUCAUUGUUUUUUUGGGGGGGACUGACAAGAUAUCGAUGUGAUAAAUAACAUUAUAGAGAGACAUGAGCAGAACACAUUGCUUGCAGACAGUACCACCAAUGUUGCCUUGUUCGUACAUGGUUACAGGUCAAUAUGUUUAUUAACUGAAAUGGGUUGCCUUGGAUUAAAGACGGAUGUUAUACACGGACUCAAGUGA